GGCACUUUGGCCGAGUGGUCUAAGGCGCCGUGUUCAGGUUCUUGCAUCGGUUCUCCGAUCUCCCUAUUCGCGGUCUAGUAAUAGGCGAGGGUUCGAAUCCCUCAGGUGUCA
This is a non-coding RNA of Purpureocillium takamizusanense, 111 nucleotides long. The record is from the annotation of a RefSeq genome assembly. Lineage: Eukaryota; Fungi; Ascomycota; Sordariomycetes; Hypocreales; Ophiocordycipitaceae.